This 161-nucleotide small RNA is filed under the name Mytilus galloprovincialis (Mediterranean mussel). Lineage: Eukaryota; Metazoa; Mollusca; Bivalvia; Mytilida; Mytilidae. The record is from RNAcentral.
UUGAGAAAUCGGGAAAUAGGGAUAUCGAGAAAUAGGGAAAUCGAGAAAUCGAGAAAGCAAAAACGCGAAAACACGAAAUGAAUUUUUCGAUUUCGCGUUUUUGCUUUCUCGAUUUCCCGAUUUCCCAAUUUCUCGAUUUCCCGAUUUCCCAAUUUCCCGAU